This is an RNA transcript of Scylla paramamosain (green mud crab), 2325 nucleotides long. It is a transcript of the gene named F-box-like/WD repeat-containing protein TBL1XR1, with no coding region annotated. Lineage: Eukaryota; Metazoa; Arthropoda; Malacostraca; Decapoda; Portunidae. The record is from RefSeq and is a predicted model, not a curated record. The transcript has 12 exons.
UAAAUAUUCAAUCAAAGACGUUUGGAGAACGUCAAACUUUCUUUGGCAGAGAGAUUGAGAGGAUGGCACAAGAGUGACACCACCAUUGAUGAGAAACCUGAGGACAACCUCUGGCUCUUUGGACUCUGAGACAGGUUAGCAUUUACUGUCUCCUGAGAACCACAUCAGCGGAGGAGACGUGACCCUUGACUCUGUGUCUCCUCUCAACUCUCCGUCCUUCACCCUCAGUGAGACAGUACCAGACUUCAAUCUUGACUUCAACCUUGAUGAAGCCUUGAAAUUUGUUGGACUGAACUGUUCCAAGACUGGGGAACCUGUCUGGAAGCCCUCAGAGCCUGAACCCACUUCUGACAACAAGGAAAGCCCUGGUAAGGAGGAGGAGGACAACGAGGACAGCUUAGACACCUUGAACGACACCCUGGAUGAUAUGAUCCAGGCCUCCUAGCUUCAUCCUCAACACCCGCGCUCACUACAGUUCCCCUGACAGGCACCACAAGUGAGAACAUGGAGGUGGACAACAGUGUGGAGAUCCCCCUCAACAAGGCUACCAUCCUGCGGGGACACCAGAGUGAGGUGUUCAUCUGUGCCUGGAACACAAUCACUUACCUUGCCUCAGGGUCAGGAGACAGCACAGCCCGCAUCUGGAACAUGAAUAACAGCACCACCUCCCUGAACCAGCUUGUUCUUCGGCACUGCAUUCAGAAGGGAGGCACUGAAAGGUUCCCAGUAACAAAGAUGUCACUUCCUUAGACUGGAAUUGUGACGGCACCUUGCUCGCCACGGGAUCUUAUGACAAUUACACCAGAGUUUGAAUGACAAACGGCCGGCUAGCCUACAACCUUGGCCAGCACAAGGAUCCCAUAUUUGCCCUUAAGUGGAACAAAAAGGGCAACUACUUCCUAAGUGUUGGAGUGGACAAGGGCGACGUGAGUGCAAGUAUGGGUGUUCCUGGAUGUAUACCAGGUACCAUGUUUGCUCCCAUCCCUGUGGAAGUCAUUUCAUAUUCACCUGAGCUAGUUGGAACCAAUGCAACUCAGAAGAGCAAGUACAGCAGAUAGCACAUUGUAGAACCAUCAACAGACCUGCAUCAAAUCUUGGAGGCAACACAAAAUGUGGAAGCCACCUUGGAUGCCCUAAUCUGGUUCUGUACUGUCACCGACUCCUUGUUAUUCAUCAGUGACCUUCUAAACCAGGCUUCUUGUCCUGUCCACUUCUAUGCUGAUGAUACCACCCUGAACUUUUCCACGUCUUUUCAUAGAUGUCCAACACUUCAGAAGGAGAAAUCUUUCUUGAGAACCCAGCUAAUCAUCUAUGUGGUCCUCAGCUUGUUCAUCAGGCUUGACUCAUGCAUCUUCUGAAGGCUGUAGGAAGAGUAAGUAAGCCCAAUAGCAAUACCUCCUGUGAUGUACUGGACUGGCAGUUCCUUGAUUCUGGAGGAGUCUGCAAUAGAAAGACCACAAAUGUAGUAGUUGGUUGUGACAUCCAUACCUAUGAACAUGUAUUUACCAGCCAAGUGAGUUUUUUUUUUUUAUUUGUUCGACUUACUUAUUUUCUCUUGUUUAAUGUAACAGGAGGACUGGUCAAGGACAACAAAAAGAGCAAAAGAAAAGAAAACAAGACCCACUGAGCUGCCAGUCCCAAAAGAAAGUUAAAAAAGAUCAUCCCAAAUUGGAAGGUAAGUGUCUUGAAACCUCCCUCUUGAAAGAAUUUGCAUCAUAGGAAGGAGGAGGUACAGAAGCAUGUAGGGAGUGUGGGAUUAGCUAACAGUGAGAUACUGGUGGUGGUUAUGCUAAAUUAAGGAAUGUUUGUGGUUUUAUCUAGAUGAAGAAUGAAUCUGACUAAUUUAUUUUACCUGAUGGAAGAAUCUUAAUUAGUGUUUUCAUUUAUCAGAGGCAAGAUAUGAAGCAAAUGUUUAUAUGACAAUUUCAAGUUCGCAUCUUUCUCACUUUGAGGAGAACUAAUUGAUGCUUUCUAAUGACCUGCAAAGGAAUUUUGUUCAGCACUGCUUCAUCUUAAGGGAUUUAAGGAUUAACAAACCAGACCAAAAAAUUCCCAAAACAUUUCAAAACAACAGAAAUAAUGAAAAACAAUGAAAAACACACUAAAAUCAUCAACAGAUGUAUCCAAACCAUCAAAAAGACAGAGAGAUGAAUAUUCCAUGGGAAACAAUUAAAAAAUAUUAAAAAGAAUACUAAAAUAUUGAAAAACACACCAAAACAUCAAAAAGACAAAAAAAAGGGAGAUGAAGAGACCAUGACAUAGUGAAGAUUUUCCUGACACCAACAUGGGAAUUGCUUCUCCAGUCCCUCACUGUGGGAGUUGUGA